CCUACGGGUGGCAGCAGUGAGGAAUAUUGGUCAAUGGGCGCGAGCCUGAACCAGCCAAGUAGCGUGAAGGAUGACUGCCCUACGGGUUGUAAACUUCUUUUAUAAGGGAAUAAAGUGAGGCACGUGAGCUUCUUUGUAUGUACCUUAUGAAUAAGGAUCGGCUAACUCCGUGCCAGCAGCCGCGGUAAUACGGAGGAUUCGAGCGUUAUCCGGAUUUAUUGGGUUUAAAGGGUGCGUAGAUGGGUUGUUAAGUCAGUGGUGAAAGUCUGCGGCUCAACCAUGGAAUUGCAAUUGAUACUGGCAGUCUUGAGUGCAGUUGAGGUAGGCGGAAUUCAUGGUGUAGCGGUGAAAUGCUUAGAUAUCACGAAGAACUCCGAUUGCGAAGGCAGCUUACUAAGCUGCCACUGACAUUGAUGCUCGAAAGUGUGGGUAUCAAACAGGAUUAGAUACCCUUGUAGUC
RNAcentral lists this ribosomal RNA (460 nucleotides) under uncultured bacterium. RNAcentral's name for it is "partial 16S ribosomal RNA". It matches the Rfam family "Bacterial small subunit ribosomal RNA", at positions 338 to 795 of the family's 1533-position model. The record is from RNAcentral.